GACGAACGCUGGCGGCGUGCUUAACACAUGCAAGUCGAACGGAAAGGCCCUGCUUUUGUGGGGUGCUCGAGUGGCGAACGGGUGAGUAACACGUGAGUAACCUGCCCUUGACUUUGGGAUAACUUCAGGAAACUGGGGCUAAUACCGGAUAGGAGCUCCUGCUGCAUGGGGGGGGUUGGAAAGUUUCGGCGGUUGGGGAUGGACUCGCGGCUUAUCAGCUUGUUGGUGGGGUAGUGGCUUACCAAGGCUUUGACGGGUAGCCGGCCUGAGAGGGUGACCGGCCACCUGGGGACUGAGAUACGGCCCAGACUCCUACGGGAGGCAGCAGUGGGGAAUAUUGCACAAUGGGCGGAAGCCUGAUGCAGCAACGCCGCGUUCGGGAUGCCGGCCUUCGGGUUGUAAACCGCUUUCGCCUGUGACGAAGCGUGAGUGACGGUACUGGGUAAAGAAGCACCGGCUAACUACGUG
Molecule: ribosomal RNA, 468 nt
Filed under: uncultured bacterium
Lineage: Bacteria
Description: partial 16S ribosomal RNA
Rfam family: Bacterial small subunit ribosomal RNA
Source: RNAcentral